UUUUAUUAAUGUAUCAGAUUUAAUUUUGCAGCAGAUGUUUAUGUGGAAAGGUCUCAAUCCUUACAGGACUUGUAGCAAUUGAUAUGCAUGUGUAAUUUAUUCUCAUUACAGGUUUAUUCUUAACUGGUGUUCGGGGGGUCUUCACUGUAUCUCUAGUAGAUCCUUGAGAAUUAAACAGUUUAACCAAUGUAAUGAGCAAGCCUGAAAGAAGUACAGGUAAAGCAGAAUAUGGAUUUGGGUAUUACUUCUCCAGAUUUGCAAAUAAUGUAAGUAUGGUAUUUAAAGGGAGUGAGAAAUUGGCAAAAAUAAAUAUCUUCAAGUAAUAAAUGCCCCGGAUGGUAUUUUGGCAAAGCAAAGAUUUAAAAAAAUGGAUCUUUUCAUCAUUCUCAUGUAAACUUGCUCAUCUUUGUAAGUCAUGCUUGUAGCUCUCAGGGGUGUCAAACCUAAAGCAGACAAGCCCAGCUGGUGGAAGCCUGGGAGUGAAAUGAUGAAUUUUUUAGCAGAUCUGAGUUUAUUUUUAGGCUUUAUAGAAUUAUGUUUCAUUUCCCUGUGAGUGAAAUUGUAGGAAGUAGCUUAGAAGAAAAACAAAUUAAGAAACUUCACCAGAACAGCAAAAAAUAGCAAAACACUGGACCCUAACUACAGUUGAGCACAACAUAUCCUGAUUGCAUUUGAAAUUGUGGCUACAGUUUUGUCCUGCAAAUAUUUACAUACAUGUUCAGUUUAAUGCAUAUGAGAAUUCUUGAAACAAGCAGUAAGUCUGCAGAGACAGCAGACUGCAGGUUAGACUGCAUGGGGAACUGAACAAAAUUUCUAGUGGGAAUAUACUUUCUUUAGAUAUAUUUUCUGUGCUACUGAAUGUGGGAAUAAAAUUCCAGGUGUCUGGAUUUUGUUAGUUUAUGCAGUAAAAGAAGUGUAGAAACAUUUUGGGAGAGAGGAGAGUUCAUAGGAAGGUUCUGGGUCUGGAAUCUUGUUUGGUUAGUGAAGAUAAUUUCAUUAACACAAUCAACAUAUUCAACCCUAUGAUUUCACACUAUCCAUUUUUGCUGGCAUUACAGAAUUGUCAACUCUUUCCUGCAGAUAAAACAGAAAAACUGCAUUAGUAUCCAAGGCAAGUGUGGGAAAAUGCCGUGGACCUGGGAGGAGGAGAUGCAUGUGAUAGUUACAGGUCUAGCAAGGGCUGGUUUUUGCAGAAAGUUUAUCACAUGCAGCUACACAUCCCAUGUCCAUUAAGGUCACUCUUUUGAGAUUUCAUUUUAAGUGAACUUGGCUUUUUGGGGUCCUUUCUAGUACAUGGAGUAGAUCAGAAUUUGCCAACCAUGCUUUUUUCUCAGAGUUGAUGGUGGUGCUGCCAUGGGGUUUUGCCUGUGAUAGAAAGUGUGUUAGUAAGUGACAAAGAUGCCUCUUUAUAUCUCAUGUCCUAGAAUGUGCUCCUGGGAGUACUGGGGACUGCAGCCUUCCCCACUGAAACAGCCUCCCCUCUGUUCUGCAGUUGGGAACCAAAGGAGCCACCUUAAAGGCUUAGUUCUUCAGAGAACCCUGCUGCAGCCACACAGGCAUCAUGUGAUCCAUCCCAAAGGGUGACACCUUUGUGCUUGCAUGUGACACUGAGGGAUGACCCAGAAGACAGUACUGAAAUCUGCUAAACUGUGAGUCUGAAAAUCCCAUUUUAUAUUUGAGCAUUUGCAGUGACUUCUGGAAGCUUCAAAUCUGGUCCAUCAUUGUAAAGAGUAAUUCAAAUUCACCUUGUCAUCUUUUUGCCUCCAACUUACCAUGAUAAAAGAAAAUCAGGUAAUGUAAUCUGUACAAGCUGGCAUCUUUCACUCUACUGCCCAGCUGCCUGCAGCUUCCCCUCCUGCCUGCCACGUUAUCAGAACUCCAACCCAGGAAUGCUGGAGAGAAUGAUUGUGUUCCUUUGGAAAACUGGGGCUUUCAUUCAGCACCUCUGGAGUGGGUGUAAGGUUGGAAGUGAAGUCAGCCAAGGACCCUUGGCUCUGGUGGGACUGAAAUCAGCUUCUUUGGGCUUACAGCAUGUCUCCAAAAUAAUGUGUGUGGGGGCCAGAACUACUCAAUUACUGUCCUCAGACUCCAGAAGUGCCAUGCACAUCUCACACCACUGAAUAGUACCAAGCAUGGAAAUGUAUUGCUGAUGUUAUUCCAGACACCUUCAAAUGUCAUCCAUCCUUGAUACUCAAGUGUUUUGUUCCUUAACUGAUUGUAAAAUAGGCAUUUUAGAUCUGAUUUUGAUGUUUGUCUACUUAUUGUAUGUCCUUUAAUUAGAGUCUUGACAAAAGCUCAGAUGCACUGUUUUAGACACACUCUGCAAGAGUGCUGUAAGAGAUGGGGAUUUUUUUUUUUAGCUCCUCUCUGGGAAUCUUUCUAGCUCCUCUCUGGUAUUUUGUGUAGCUAUUUUUUAACCAGGUUUUUUUUUUUCCACAUCAUUGUUCAUCCAUGCUAUAACCUACAAACAUGUAAGCUAAUUUCAGGACACUGACUUUUACAUUCAGAUUGCUGUAGCUUUUUUCUGAAAAGGUCACAAAAUGACUAUACCAGUAAACACAAUUAGUGAAUUAGGUUGCUGAGGAAGUAAAAACCAACAUCAAUGACUACUGUAAAAGAGGCUAAAAGAGCAGGAGACAGGUUAUUUCAUUUGCAGGUAAGAGCAUGCCUAAAGUACCUGUAACAGCUUGCUUGGAUAAUGCUAGCUAGCAAUGUGUGCUCUGUUCCAAAGCACCAGCCUAUAUUUUUGAAUCAUCUUUCAAGACUGAGAUGAUAUAAGGCAAUUAAUAGUGUUUUGUGACCUUCUGCACCAGUAGUCCAUCUUUUUGGCAUCGAAACUGAUUUUGCCCAACUUGGCAUUUUAUCACCUAGGAAUAUGUGGGGAGAUCAAAGAGACACCUUUUACAGCAGCAGUGGAAUGAUUUACUUCUGUCACAGUGUUCUUUAAAUUCACCAUUUCUUACAAGCUGAUGAGGCAAACCUCUUCUUUGCUUAAUAUCACAUAAGGUACAUUGAAAGGCUGUGAAGAGGCAGAUGUUCUAUAGCUUCACUUCAUAUGCAAAAACCUGUUAUUCUUUAUUUGCAUUCAAUUAGAAGUCAGACCCCAAUGAAUAUCUAGUGUAGGAAAUGGAGAAAAGAUUUGCCAUCAAGCAUAUGCUUUGCUUGUGGUGGAUCUCAGUAACCUGCUAUUGUGUCUUCCUGCAGUGAUUUGGUCAUUUCUACUGUAUUAUUUACACCUUCCAGCUCAGGGGUAAAGACUUUUAAUAGGUGACAACUGGAGUUAUGUUCCUGCCUUUAGAAAUGUUGCCUUUUCUCAUUCCUUUUAAAAAGCCAUUCUGCAGUUGCAAAUUUCCCUUACCAAGUAGCUCUGUUUAAGGAUUUAAAUGCUGUAGCAUUACUUCCACAUUCAUUUUCUUUUUUGAUACAGUUGUGCCUUGUGUGAUCCUGUGAAGGCUCACCAUUCUCCUGGCAAUCCUGAGUAUAAUAAGAGGAGCUCAGAAGUUAUAAAACUGUUGUGUUGUCAAGAAGAGACGGUUCAAAUGAUUGCCAUGAAGCAGAAGUGGCUUCAUAGCAAUCACUUAAACUCUUCCAGAACAGCUGUUGUGCUUGCUGUGACCUGUAAGAGCACGCAUACCAGGGUAUGACAGUACCUAGGGAGAGACAGAAGUUCUCUGGAGCCCAAGACAGCAGAGACAGGGAUAAGCAAAGCAGCUUUUCAUCACUGCAGCACAGGGUUUUCCAGCCUUUGGGGGGAAACAAUGGGAAUCUCAUACCCUCCUAAACUGGGAUGUGAUUAGAAACUUGCUUUGUUACAUUCUCCAUCCCCUUUCUUCUCCAUGGCCCACUCCCACCACAUGUUCUGGAGAACACAUGACAUUUCUUCCUUUUUCCUCUUUUCUCUUUGCUUUGAUCUAACAUUAAAUUAAACCAUCCUCACCCAAAUCCAAGCAAUGCAUUGACACUAAAGGAAAACCUUGAGACUAUUUUUAAGUGCUUUGCAAACUUAGACAAAUAAAUCAAUAUUACUUCAUGCAUGCCUCAAGUUUGAAAUGGUUCUUUGUCCUGCCAUUGUGAUGAUAAAAAAAUUCAAGAUUUUAAGGAAAAAAAAAAGGUGCAACUAAAUGAAAUGAUGAAACUAAUUCUGUCACACACAGUUACCUAAUCCUCAUGUUUUCUCUGCAAGCUCUAGCAUGAACUAAAAUGUAGAGGAACAACCUUUUUUCUGUGCAACAAGAUUAAGUGUCUCAUCUUGGAAAAAAAAUAUCUGUCAGGGUUUCCUGUGAAGGUAAUAGAGGUGUUUCAGAUAAUUGGAUCAGGCGUCUCUGGACAGUUUCUCCAGACUGAGCCUGCUUCCUAUGAGCAUUUUCCCAAGAUGUACUAAAGGACAGGCUGAAAGCCAGAAUGAAUCAUUGUUUUGGUAGCAACAGCCUUUCUGCAGCUGAAACCAUUUGUGGUGCCCCUUGGCCUAUCUCUUAGUAUGUCAAAAGCUGUGCAAACGUGAGGCUGAAGAUACAAUGAAGGGCUUGCAGUCAUUUUGGGUUCUUCUUUUAUGUUAGGGAAGCCCUUGACAAAAAUCUGCCACAAGGCUCUUCAAACCAGAAUGCCAGUGCACCACUGCUGUGGUUGAUUUCUGAUGCCUGCUUUUGACACAUAAUGAGGAUUUUGGGGGGUAAAAGGAUUUUGGGUGGCUUUUAUCUGGAUUUUUAGAAGCAUGGAGAUCCUAGUAACCUGAAGAGCAAAAAUAUAUAAAAUAUCCUGAUACAGGAAAUGAAAUAGUGAAUCAA
Molecule: long non-coding RNA, 4784 nt
Organism: Haemorhous mexicanus (house finch)
Lineage: Eukaryota; Metazoa; Chordata; Aves; Passeriformes; Fringillidae
Exons: 2
Source: RefSeq, a predicted model, not a curated record